This 86-nucleotide transfer RNA is filed under the name Rickettsiales bacterium. RNAcentral describes it as "tRNA-Leu". It matches the Rfam family "tRNA". From Rfam's summary of the family: Transfer RNA (tRNA) molecules are approximately 80 nucleotides in length. Their secondary structure includes four short double-helical elements and three loops (D, anti-codon, and T loops). The record is from RNAcentral. Lineage: Bacteria; Pseudomonadati; Pseudomonadota; Alphaproteobacteria; Rickettsiales.
GCCCCAAUGGCGAAACUGGUAGACGCAUUAGUUUCAGGUGCUAAUAACCUAUGGUUGUGGAGGUUCGAGUCCUCUUUGGGGCACCA